GACGAACGCUGGCGGCGUGCUUAACACAUGCAAGUCGAACGGAAAGGCCGUGCUUUUGUGGGGUGCUCGAGUGGCGAACGGGUGAGUAACACGUGAGUAACCUGCCCUUGACUUUGGGAUAACUUCAGGAAACUGGGGCUAAUACCGGAUAGGAGCUCCUGCUGCAUGGUGGGGGUUGGAAAGUUUCGGCGGUUGGGGAUGGACUCGCGGCUUAUCAGCUUGUUGGUGGGGUAGUGGCUUACCAAGGCUUUGACGGGUAGCCGGCCUGAGAGGGUGACCGGCCACAUUAGGACUGAGAUACGGCCCAGACUCCUACGGGAGGCAGCAGUGGGGAGUAUUGCACAAUGGGCGGAAGCCUGAUGCAGCAACGCCGCGUGCGGGAUGACGGCCUUCGGGUUGUAAACCGCUUUCGCCUGUGACGAAGCGUGAGUGACGGUAAUGGGUAAAGAAGCACCGGCUAACUACGUG
This 468-nucleotide ribosomal RNA is filed under the name uncultured bacterium. RNAcentral describes it as "partial 16S ribosomal RNA". It matches the Rfam family "Bacterial small subunit ribosomal RNA", at positions 28 to 507 of the family's 1533-position model. The record is from RNAcentral.